Martelella sp. AD-3 is the source of this 154-nucleotide regulatory RNA element. It matches the Rfam family "speF leader". From Rfam's summary of the family: This family is a putative regulatory RNA structure that is found upstream of the speF gene encoding ornithine decarboxylase in Agrobacterium tumefaciens and other alpha-proteobacteria. Lineage: Bacteria; Pseudomonadati; Pseudomonadota; Alphaproteobacteria; Hyphomicrobiales; Aurantimonadaceae. The record is from Rfam.
UCCCGGCUUUCCAACGGCCGGGGUACUAAAGAGGCACAUACCAUCAUUGCCGGAAGUGCGGUCGGGAUACCCCUCCAAUCCAAGGCAGACAAAGCCGGAUAAGCCGCAAGGCUUGUUCAAUCUUGAGCGGUCGCCGCAAACGGUCCCCGGGGUC